CUUAUUUCUCACAUCAUCACCUUUUGGGCAGUACCCGUUGUCCAUGCAUCUCAGAUUCCUGCCCACAGAUGGGCUAAGGAAGAACUCUGAGAAAUGUCUCAGAAAAAGGCUGCUGGCCAGAUUUGACCUGCGAUUUGCUGACUACUGGCUUAUACUCCAUUAGACAUUCACCAGAUCUGAGAUGAGCACCUCUCAGAGGAAGAAGUAAACACUGGACGGAUCCAUCUUUGGCUAAUGUGGUGGCUGAAAUAAUUAGAUGCUUCUUCCUGGAUGGUGAUUCUUUAACCUAUUGAAUUUCCAAAUAAGAUCCAUAACAUCUCUUGUGAAUGUGUGAGGAAAUAAAGUAGUUAUUCUUACUAAUGAAA
This is a non-coding RNA of Oryctolagus cuniculus (rabbit), 365 nucleotides long. Lineage: Eukaryota; Metazoa; Chordata; Mammalia; Lagomorpha; Leporidae. The record is from RefSeq and is a predicted model, not a curated record.